This 72-nucleotide transfer RNA is filed under the name Camelus bactrianus (Bactrian camel). It matches the Rfam family "tRNA". Rfam says of the family: Transfer RNA (tRNA) molecules are approximately 80 nucleotides in length. The record is from Rfam by way of RNAcentral. Lineage: Eukaryota; Metazoa; Chordata; Mammalia; Artiodactyla; Camelidae. RNAcentral also lists the same sequence under 2 other names.
GAGGGUAUAGCUCAGUGGUAGAGUGUGUGCUUAGCAUGCACAAAGUCCUGGGUUCAUUCCCCAGUACCUCUU